This is an RNA transcript of Camelus dromedarius (Arabian camel), 4117 nucleotides long. It is a transcript of the gene named junction-mediating and -regulatory protein, with no coding region annotated. The record is from RefSeq and is a predicted model, not a curated record. The transcript has 6 exons. NCBI's taxonomy places the organism in Eukaryota, Metazoa, Chordata, Mammalia, Artiodactyla, Camelidae.
GGUGCGGGGCGGGGAUGCUGUUGGGCACGGCACAGCCAGCGGCUGAGUCCGUUGGCGGGCAGGGCUGGUGACCCUUUCCCCGGGGCCUGGCCCUGGAGCCACCAUGUUUUUGGCGCUCAAGGAGAGACUCCAGUUGGACUGGGUGGCCUGGCGGCUGCAUGUGUUCUACAAGCGGAAGAAGCACAAGUUCAUCUUCAUCAUCUCCUGGAAUGAGAUUGAGGGCAAGUUUGCCAUAACCUGCUAAAACCGGAUGGCCCAGAGGCAGAGGAGCGGCACCAGCGGUCAGGUCUACUUGGGCCACGACCUGGACACCUGUGGCUGGAAGAUCCUCUCCCAAGAAUUCUUCACGGAAACCCACGACUGGGAGUAUUAUGAACCCUUAGCGAGCUGCAGCAGAAGGACCAGGAAGCGCAUCCAGGAGUGAGGCCAGACCCAGGCACUGAGUGAACAAGACUGCGAGCUGAGAUUCUGGAGCUGCUGCCACCACCACCAGCAUGAGAGCGAGGGAGCACCCGAGGGACCCAGCCCCUGUGCGCUGGCCCAGCUGAGACCUGCGCCCAACCUGGGGCCAGCGGGAGCCACGGCCCCCCGUCUCCCCACUCCCCUCCCCGCCGGCAGCGGCAGCUGCACACGCCGGAGCCCGAGCCGGCGGCCGGGGGGCCGGGAGGCGGCUACCUCGGGCGGGGCUCGUCAGCGGCUCCGCGGUGAGAGGGCGCUGAGACGCGGCUGGAGCUUCUGUCUCAUCCUGGGGCGUGGGGCAAGGGACUCCCAAGGUGGAGGGAAGGGGUCCCAGCCUCAGCGACACCUGUGGGAGCCGGAAGCCGGGGUGGCGCCUAGCGGAGCUGGCUGGAUCCCCCACCUCAGUGCCAUCUCCGCCACCCUUCUGCGUCUAUAGCAUCUCCACCCUGAGUAUAUGAGCCGGGACCCCAAGUUCGGCCACCACCCCCCAGCCAGGGGUGUGGGCGGGGACCCCAAUAUGAAGUAGUGGCCCGGGCAGCGGGAUCAGCAGGACCGGCACCGCCAUCCUUUCCUUCUCUCGCCCUCCCUUCUGCCCCCUUGGGGGUCUUCUCCCUUAACCAGUCACUGGACCCUGGCUCCUCGGCAGGACUCCGGGAGGACGUCUUAGGGCCCCAUCCCCCACCCCAGCCCCGAGGGCGGCGGGUUUGGGGGGACCUGGAGGGCCGACUGCAGCCUUCGCCCAGAGGGAACUUUAUUAAAAUCAAAAUACAGAGCACCCCAAAUCUGACUGUCCAGGGACAAGUGGACCAGGACCGGCAGAAUACCCAGCCUGAAGAGGGCCAGAAAGAGAAGAGGAGGGAAGUGGGGCCGCUGCCUCUUCUGCUCUGUCGCUGUUGAAAAGACCUGGGUGGCUGCCCCGCUUAGCAGCACCAGCCCCGCUUCUUCCUUAGUAAGGCGCGGGCCCUGCCGCAGCUGCCGCCUCCAUCCCGAGGAGGAAGGGAACCAGCCCACCUACAGAGCUCUGGCUCUUCUGUAAUGUGUCUUAGGCUUAUCCCUUCAGUGUGGGGGUAAAAUGAUUCUCCGUGAAGCUUUCUGGCCACUACUGAGGACUACCCCUGACUUCUACUUUGCCUGGGCAUUGUUCACCACCUGUCGGAGUUGGCUGUCCUGCCCCACACGUGUGCGUGUGUGGCUCCCUGGCCCACUGCUCUGUUUGCUGUCUGUGUGAGGCCCAGCAACAGCGGCGGCUUUCAGCUGGGAGUUUCAAGCUCCUAAAAAAUUUCACAUCAUUGCUGUCUGAGGCUGUUCUCCUGUUACUUAAGGCAAGAGAAACAGGUGCCGAUGCCCUGUGACUCAGGAGCUGUACCUCCAGGAACUGAGCGCUACAGAUAUGCUCAUGCAACCUUAUCUGAAAGAUUUUCCUAAAUGGCAAUUUUUAUACUUCUUCAUAAACCAUUCCCUUGACUGCUUCUCUUUCAACUCAUAUGCAUAAAAGACUUCACCCCAGGACCAGAUAACAAAACAGUUAAUAACAGGAAGGAUAAGCCUUCAGAACUUGCCAAGCAAAAGGAGAGAUUGGUAUGCACAAAGGUAAAUAUGUAAGAUGAUGAAUAAUUGAAAUUUAAAUGAGUGGCUCACAGUAGUGCUCAAAAAGUUCAAAGAGGAAAGGAAGGCAGGUGGAAGUGGUCCUGUUUGUGUGUGUUUGUGUGUGUGAGCAUGCAUGCUGGGAAAGGAAUUCGGUAAUGGAUGAAGACAUCAUGCAAGAUGGUUGAAGUGUCAGUAACAGUCUUUGGAAUAUGAGUUGAGAAAGGGAAAUAAAAAGUUGAAUUUGGAAAUGAUGCUUGAGGCCAGAAUGUAAAAGGCCUUGAAGGUCAAAUUAAGAUGUGCUAUCAUACAUUAUAAGUCUUGUCUUUCACACCAAUAUAUGUUGACCCUCUUAGAAAUGGUGAAUUAGAGAGGAGAUGAAGGGUUCCUUUAAAGAAGAAAUCUAGGCAAACAACAGCACACUGAGGAAAUGGUACCCAGCAAUUGCAUUCCACAAGAUUAAGUACAUUAGCAUUUCUAAAGAAAAAUAAUAAUUUAUAGUACUGUAUGUUUCCUACUACCUACAGAGUUAGAAAAUUGCUCAGUAACAUUGAAUUUGAAAUAUUCAAAGGGUGAGCUAGACAGGCACCAAGUAAUCUUUUGUAUGGUUGAGUGUGUGUUUCAAAAUGUUUCAGUUUUUCCUGACAGUGGCCACUUUUAUUAGGUAUUUACCUAGAAGCAGAUUUGCUGGAAUAGGUUUAUCUGUAUGUUCAGGUUAAAGUGGAUACUGACAGAUAUUUGCUUCUCAGGUGACUGUACCAAUUUACAUGCUCAUCAGCAAUGUAGCAUUCUUUAUGUGCUCCUGAAAGUUAGGAAGUUCUGAGCCUCAAUUCAGUUCUACAAAGGGUAAAAUUUUAAACAAUCUCCUUUGUAGUUCUCAUGCAUACCAAAUUUUUAGAGUUAUUAUCAGUGGUAUAAUAAAUAAAUUAUCUGUCCUUUAUUUCUGGUACCAGACACAGAACUUCAAAACUCUUGGAAUUUCUUCAGUGAGAAGACCGUCUAUUAUGCUAAUGAGGUGACUCAUAGUAGUGGGCCCCAAGUUAACUUCAGCAUGAGCACUAAUCCCAGAAAGACCAGCCACAUAAUUAGAGGGUUAAAAAUUAGGGACACGCUGGACUCUGGGAAAAUGGGAGUAGAUGGUGCUGGAGAUGGAGAUUAGUCAUGUGUCCAAUGAUUUAAUAAAUUAUAAAGCCCAAGUAAAACCUCUGGACUUCAAACUCAGUGAUGCUUUCUGGUUUGUGAAUACCCAGAAUCCACUUGCAGCCAGUGUCUGAGUUUGGCAUAUACUAAGUCUGUGUAAUUUAUUUGUUGAACAACUUAAUGCACUGAUUCUAACCUGAGUCUUACAUCCAACUCUUGUAUCAUUCUGGAAGUAUAAAGUCUACGAGCUUGUGUCUCUCAUGGUGAAGCUUGACAUUUUUGUCCAUGUAGGGAGAUUCAGGAAAGGUAUGACUAAACAGUGGGAAUAUUACUGUGUGGAAAAAGGCAUCAUCAUAGAAAAUGAAAUCCUCUAACACAACAAUUUUCAGUUCAAAGCAAGCCAAAACAAAUUGACUAUUCCACUUGUGACCUAAGCAGUGAGCAUUGGUAUCUCCAGUAAGAUUUGGCCUCUCCAGUAAGAUUAACAAGAGGACAGAAUACUGGAUAAAGAAGUAGUAUAUUUAUACAAUGGAAUAAUGCACAUCCAUAAAAAAAUAAUAAAAUAAUGUCAUUUAUAGCAACAUGAAUGGACUUAGGAAAUAUCAUUCUAAGUGAAUGCAGAAAGAGAAAGAAAAAUGCCAUAUGAUAUCACUUACAUGUAGCAUCUAAAAAAUAGAUGAAAUUAUUAAAAAAAGACUCACAGACAUAGAAAACAAACUUAUGGUUUCCAGAGGGAGAAGAGAGUAGGAAGGGCUAAAUUGAGAGCUUGAGAUUUGUAGAUAAUAAUAUAUAUAUAAUAUAUAAAAAACAAUUCCAUAUUGUAUAGCACAGAGAACUAUAUUCAAUAUCUUAUAGUAACUUAUGGUGAAAAGGAAUAUAAAAAAGAAUAUAUGUAUGUUAAUGUAUGACUGAAGCAUUAUCCUGUUCACCGGAA